Molecule: long non-coding RNA, 366 nt
Organism: Mauremys reevesii (Reeves's turtle)
Lineage: Eukaryota; Metazoa; Chordata; Testudines; Geoemydidae
Exons: 3
Source: RefSeq, a predicted model, not a curated record
CACCUCAGUCUCUGCUCCUAGGUUACCUACUGACAAAGCUCUCCAGGGGCUGGACGUUUUUCAAUGGGAACCUCUAUUACUUUUCACAAGAAAAGAAGCCGUGGGAUGAGGCCGAGCAGUUCUGUGUGUCUCAGGACUCGCACCUGACCUCUGUCUCCUCCCAGGCGGAACAGGAGUUUAUCUCCAGCGAGACCCAGGGACAAGAUCACUGGAUUGGACUCACCGACCGGGAGACAGAAGGCAGCUGGCGCUGGGUGGACGGCACAGAAUACAGAGCAGACGCAAGCAGGGGGUUCUGGGCGGAGAAUGAGCCAAACAACUGGGAUCAGGGGAUUGGAGGCAGAGAAGACUGUGCUGAGAUCUACA